GGCUGAAUCUUGAUACUCUGCAUAGAAAUUUAAUAGGAUGAUUCUGUGACUUGAUUAAACUGUAAUCCGAGCUCAUUCUUCAAAAGUUUAAAAAAUUGCCUAGCUGUCAUUCUUUCAGAUGCAAGUGGCAAGCACCCUGAAAGGUGCUGGGGAUUUCAGAGAUGCUGAGUAACACACAGUUAUUGUCCCCAUAGAGCUGGCCCUCAGGUAGGGGAAAAGAGAGCAGUUUGGCAAGUGUGUCUGGAAGGAGCCUGUGAUACUAGACUGUGUGUGUCUGAAAGCUAAAAAUAUGUGAACUCCAUU
Molecule: long non-coding RNA, 303 nt
Filed under: Pan troglodytes (chimpanzee)
Lineage: Eukaryota; Metazoa; Chordata; Mammalia; Primates; Hominidae
Description: long non-coding RNA NONPTRT013520
Source: RNAcentral